RNAcentral lists this ribosomal RNA (479 nucleotides) under uncultured bacterium. RNAcentral's name for it is "partial 16S ribosomal RNA". It matches the Rfam family "Bacterial small subunit ribosomal RNA", at positions 28 to 507 of the family's 1533-position model. The record is from RNAcentral.
GAUGAACGCUGGCGGCGUGCUUAACACAUGCAAGUCGAGCGAGAAGUUUUGAAAAGAUUCUUCGGAUGGAAUUUAAAAUGGAAAGCGGCGGACGGGGGAGUAACGCGUAGGCAACCUGCCACAUACAAAGGGAUAGCAUUUGGAAACGAAUAUUAAUACCUUAUGAAACUUAACUAGUGAAUGCUAGGUAGGUCAAAGAUUUAUCGGUAUGGGAUGGGCCUGCGUCUGAUUAGCUAGUUGGUGAGGUAACGGCCAACCAAGGCGACGAUCAGUAGCCGACGUGGGUGGGCGAACAGCUAGGUAGGAAGUGAGACACGGGCCAAACACCGACGGGAGGAAGCAGUAGGGAAGAAUGAAGAAUGGGGGAAAGACGGAGGCAGCAACGCUGCGUGAAGGAGGAAGGCGGUUGGGACGCAAAGUUCUGUUCUAGGGGAGGAAAACUGACAGUAACCGAUGAGAAAGCCCCGGCUAACUCCGUG